This is a long non-coding RNA of Nymphaea colorata (pocket water lily), 3676 nucleotides long. RefSeq lists it as uncharacterized. Lineage: Eukaryota; Viridiplantae; Streptophyta; Magnoliopsida; Nymphaeales; Nymphaeaceae. The transcript is spliced from 5 exons. The record is from RefSeq and is a predicted model, not a curated record.
UCCCUUCAACCAGAGCGAUCUGCGACAUUUUACCGAUUUAAACCCUAAUUUUGCCGUCGGCGGUGUCCUUGAUCGUCUCCGCAUCAUCGCUGCCGGCGGGUUCCUCCUCAUCUGCUUUCAUUUUGCUCAACCUCUUCGCCCUUCCAACCUCAUUGGGAAUCUGAUUCGUCUCUUCUCCAGAGCUCCUUCUUGCUAUUUGUUGAGGGGCGUUGUGCGUUAAUGCCGUCCGUUGUGCUUCCAUAGAGAAGCGGAUUGAAGGGGAACCUUGAGAGGAUUUUGUGCAAGACGAUGAUUGUCGUCCGUUCUCAUGUACUUUUUUGGAUUUGUGUUCGAAUUGUAUAUGAAGAUUAUAGGCUGGAGGGCAACAGGGGUGAAGGAGUUCGCGAAAUUGAAGAGUUCGACUCCUGAAGAUCGAAGGAUUCAUGCAUCGAUGCUGCAGGGACAGGCUUCAUGCCUCCUGAUGAUUUCUUUGAAUAAGCCAUCUGACGAACUUUUAUUACCAAGCUCAGUUUCGUUUUCAUCUAAUUUGACUGGCAACUGACAAGAAGUGAACGUAUCGCGAUGGAGUAUGGCGAUCUGGCCAUCCAAAGGUAGAUCAGGCGGGAACAAGUCUACAGUAUUCCUUUUCAGCACCAGUGCACUGCUACUGUCACAAGUUUUUUGUCCCCCAAGUCUGCUCAUGAUUCGUAGAGAAAAUGACGCAGAACUGCAGAAUCCGUUCAAUCUUGACUAAAGCGAUUAGGAGUUAUUCCCUAUAUAAAGGCUUUGUACGUUAUUUACUUAAUGAUCUGAAGGUUCAUAACCGGUCUUUCGAGAUCUGCAUUCCUUAUUACACUAUCUUGAACCUACUCCUCAUCUUGCCUUCUCAUAGAGUCCCCACAAGCCUCAUGUAUAUAAAUCGUCCACUACUGACCUAUGCUAAACAGCAAAAUUAUUUCUCACCCUGGAAAUCCACACUAAAGCUGGUUGGUGCAAGGAAAAUAGACUAUCGAUGUGCUUCUUUUGGUUGGACCGAAACAUGGUGGGACUGGGUAUGUUCUCUUCAUCUUGGUUGAAUCUGAAUUUGUCAUAUAAGAGUUCACACCGUGUAACAGGGCUAUAAUUGGAUUUGACCCUUUUGCAAUUUUCUUUCUUGCUUGAAACUUAAAGUGGUUUCGAAGGUGAAAAGAUGCUUAAAAAAGUGAUUGCUUGCAGCGCUUUUUUACCUCUAUGUUCGACUUUUCCAUUUCUUUUCGUUUCGGAUUCUUAAUGUUAAUGUUGUUAGUUUUGGUAUCAGUGCCAUAGUGGUUUUGACCAUUGGUAUACAUAAGUUGGCCUGUAUCGGCUUGUUUUUCAUUUUUAAAAUUGAAAUUAUUUAAAAAAAUUAUUUUCUUAAAUAUAAAAAAAUCAUGUAAAUUCAUAUUGGCUGUGGAUGGUAAAAAACAACACUUUCCAAUAGAGUUUUAUAUGCAUCACCAGCCUAUUAAGCCAGCUCAUCUUAUGCAACCUGUGCCUACCUAAUUGAUGCAUGCUAUGCCUUCCUAAGUCAUGCCUAGUCACAUGGGUGCGUCAAAUAUGUGACGCACUGUUGACUGGGAUGCGAGUGCACCCUAACACGGUAUGAGACUCUGUCAUACCGAAUCGAAUGCUACUGGACGCACCUGUUUUUUUUUUUUCCUAUUUUUAUAUUUUUUUCAUAUCUUUUCCUUUUCCUUUUUCCAUCUUCUCUUUCUCAUCCCUUAUUUUAUUUAGUAAAACUUCUAAUUUGGUAUGAGAUUAGAGUAACUAUGAUAAAAAAAAUUGAAAAAUAUAGACAAAUAUAUAUAUAUAUAUAUAUAUAUAUAUAUAUAUAUAUAUUCUCACUGCACUCACAUCUUUUCUUUUUUUUUGAAAUUUGUUGCAUCUCGUACGUGUACGUGCACCCGCACCCAUGUAACAUAAUGAUACAUUGUAUGCAUAGGAUGACAUUCUUUGAUCUCUUUCGCCAUCCCAAGAGGACUGCAUGUCAAGUGACCCCUCCCAUGAAGCUGAACCUCUUGAAUAUAUUAUUGAAGACGUGUUGAGCAUUUUUCGGCCAAUCAUAAUCAAAUUGUUGGAAAAUAGAUUUGAUUUCAUUGUGGCUUCAAAGUUCCAAGUGUUCACAUCUAACCAUUUUAAAAUUAUUUAGAGAUUUCACUUUUUAUUAUUUUUAUUUUUUUGAAAAUAAAUUUACUAAUAGUUUUAGCUGAUACACAAGAAUUGGCCGGUUCACUCACCUGCAGUUCCAUCAAUUCGAUUCAUGGCGGAUUCAAGAGUACCACGUGUCAACAUUUGACAGUUUUAAGAGCCAUUCAAUUUUUUUUAUCUUUUAUGUAUUUUUCAUUUAAUUUUUAGAAAAUAAAUUUUUUUAUAUUUUUAGCUGAUUCUCAACGAUUCAGCUGAAUUGAUGAAUUGGGCAACUCACUGAGCAAGCAGUUCCAUCAUUUCGGUUCACAAAUCUAUUUUUACAACAUCAAUCUUAGGUACUUGCUUGGCUAGCAGUUUAGUUGCCUCAAGCCCCAAGGUGACAACAUUAAAAGCUUGUUAACUGGUGGCUUAUUGGCGUGCUGUGAGAAAUCAAUACUCUCAAAUAUCAUUAGUAUCUGAGCAGCAACUCCAAGAAAUCAAGGACAAUAUGAAAACUCUAUCAGGCCAGAGCGGCGGACUCAAGAUGGAAUAGUGGAAACGGAGAUUGAAAAUUCAGCGGCCAACUCUUCCAGAAGGAAGUACGACAAAUUCCUGCAGCCUGGAAUUACUUUUUUCCACUUUGGGACACAAGGCAUGAAGGGAUGCUAGCACUUGUGCCUAAUUACGCAACUCAUCUUUAGAGGCCAUUCACAUUGCGGAAAUAUCAAAUCUUUAUCGGGGAUGAAAUCACCAGGACUUGACAGGGCUUCCAACCCACUUUUUCAAUUGGUAUCGGGAUGAUGUUUCUCUAGAUAUCAGCCUUCUAGUCAUUGAAUUCCAUGUAAGGCCAGAUUCCCUUACGAUCACUGACCGACAUUUUCCCCUUGUCGUCCAAUCUCAAUUGCAGGCGCUCUACCAAUUACCGAUGCCCAACUCCAGGUAUCUAUUUUACUAUUUCAUCCAAAAUUUGGCCACCUCAAUUGGCACUCAUCUCAGACUGAUCCAUAGUUCAAGUUUAUGUUGUCGCCAUAAAAGUUGCACAUUUGAUGCAUAAAUUAGGUAAGCCUGAAUAAUGCUUAAAAUAGAUUCUUCUCCAGCUUUGGAUAAUAUUUCUUUCGAUUACCUCAUCCUGAUGAUGUCAUAUGUGGAGUCAGAGCAUUUUAAAGAACUCAAUGGCAAGCUUGUCUUCUCAUUAGUCAGUGUCGGGAACCACCAUUACUAAAAAGAAUAGAAGUAGUUAUAAACAGAUGGGAAGACGGUGAAUUGGAACCUCCACCAGUAUAAAUAAGGUCUUGGCCUCUUAUCGUGAGUAAUAAGUGGGUGAAGGGAGGUAGCUGUAUGAAGUGAGCAACUCAAUCUUACUCCCGUGAGCUUGUUAGGUGGCAAAGUUUCAUUUGGCUUGGCAGAUUUACAGUGUACACUACUUUAGGCACAUUAUCUUUUAAUAUUUGAGUAGUGGAUCUCUAUCAAAAUUAUUAUUGAAAUUCAUCUCAGGUGUCAAAAGUUUUCCGAAUUUUCUUUUGAUUUUCUCUACGAUAGAUUAUUCAAGCAU